RNAcentral lists this ribosomal RNA (1500 nucleotides) under Paraclostridium bifermentans. RNAcentral describes it as "16S ribosomal RNA". It matches the Rfam family "Bacterial small subunit ribosomal RNA". Lineage: Bacteria; Bacillati; Bacillota; Clostridia; Peptostreptococcales; Peptostreptococcaceae. The record is from RNAcentral.
AUAUUUGAGAGUUUGAUCCUGGCUCAGGAUGAACGCUGGCGGCGUGCCUAACACAUGCAAGUCGAGCGAUCUCUUCGGAGAGAGCGGCGGACAGGUGAGUAACGCGUGGGUAACCUGCCCUGUACACACGGAUAACAUACCGAAAGGUAUACUAAUACGGGAUAAUAUACGAAAGUCGCAUGGCUUUUGUAUCAAAGCUCCGGCGGUACAGGAUGGACCCGCGUCUGAUUAGCUAGUUGGUAAGGUAAUGGCUUACCAAGGCAACGAUCAGUAGCCGACCUGAGAGGGUGAUCGGCCACACUGGAACUGGAGACACGGUCCAGACUCCUACGGGAGGCAGCAGUGGGGAAUAUUGCACAAUGGGCGAAAGCCUGAUGCAGCAACGCCGCGUGAGCGAUGAAGGCCUUCGGGUCGUAAAGCUCUGUCCUCAAGGAAGAUAAUGACGGUACUUGAGGAGGAAGCCCCGGCUAACUACGUGCCAGCAGCCGCGGUAAUACGUAGGGGGCUAGCGUUAUCCGGAAUUACUGGGCGUAAAGGGUGCGUAGGUGGUUUUUUAAGUCAGAAGUGAAAGGCUACGGCUCAACCGUAGUAAGCUUUUGAAACUAGAGAACUUGAGUGCAGGAGAGGAGAGUAGAAUUCCUAGUGUAGCGGUGAAAUGCGUAGAUAUUAGGAGGAAUACCAGUAGCGAAGGCGGCUCUCUGGACUGUAACUGACACUGAGGCACGAAAGCGUGGGGAGCAAACAGGAUUAGAUACCCUGGUAGUCCACGCCGUAAACGAUGAGUACUAGGUGUCGGGGUUACCCCCUCGGUGCCGCAGCUAACGCAUUAAGUACUCCGCCUGGGAAGUACGCUCGCAAGAGUGAAACUCAAAGGAAUUGACGGGGACCCGCACAAGUAGCGGAGCAUGUGGUUUAAUUCGAAGCAACGCGAAGAACCUUACCUAAGCUUGACAUCCCACUGACCUCUCCCUAAUCGGAGAUUUCCUCGGGGACAGUGGUGACAGGUGGUGCAUGGUUGUCGUCAGCUCGUGUCGUGAGAUGUUGGGUUAAGUCCCGCAACGAGCGCAACCCUUGCCUUUAGUUGCCAGCAUUAAGUUGGGCACUCUAGAGGGACUGCCGAGGAUAACUCGGAGGAAGGUGGGGAUGACGUCAAAUCAUCAUGCCCCUUAUGCUUAGGGCUACACACGUGCUACAAUGGGUGGUACAGAGGGUUGCCAAGCCGCGAGGUGGAGCUAAUCCCUUAAAGCCAUUCUCAGUUCGGAUUGUAGGCUGAAACUCGCCUACAUGAAGCUGGAGUUACUAGUAAUCGCAGAUCAGAAUGCUGCGGUGAAUGCGUUCCCGGGUCUUGUACACACCGCCCGUCACACCAUGGAAGUUGGGGGCGCCCGAAGCCGGUUAGCUAACCUUUUAGGAAGCGGCCGUCGAAGGUGAAACCAAUGACUGGGGGUGAAGUCGUAACAAGGUAGCCGUAUCGGAAGGUGCGGCUGGAUCACCUCCUUU